GAAGGUGUGCUGUGAGGCAUGCUGGAGGUAUCAGAAGUGCGAAUGCUGACAUAAGUAACGAUAAAGCGGGUGAAAAGCCCGCUCGCCGGAAGACCAAGGGUUCCUGUCCAACGUUAAUCGGGGCAGGGUGAGUCGACCCCUAAGGCGAGGCCGAAAGGCGUAGUCGAUGGGAAACAGGUUAAUAUUCCUGUACUUGGUGUUACUGCGAAGGGGGGACGGAGAAGGCUAUGUUGGCCGGGCGACGGUUGUCCCGGUUUAAGCGUGUAGGCUGGUUUUCCAGGCAAAUCCGGAAAAUCAAGGCUGAGGCGUGAUGACGAGGCACUACGGUGCUGAAGCAACAAAUGCCCUGCUUCCAGGAAAAGCCUCUAAGCAUCAGGUAACAUCAAAUCGUACCCCAAACCGACACAGGUGGUCAGGUAGAGAAUACCAAGGCGCUUGAGAGAACUCGGGUGAAGGAACUAGGCAAAAUGGUGCCGUAACUUCGGGAGAAGGCACGCUGAUAUGUAGGUGAAGCGACUUGCUCGUGGAGCUGAAAUCAGUCGAAGAUACCAGCUGGCUGCAACUGUUUAUUAAAAACACAGCACUGUGCAAACACGAAAGUGGACGUAUACGGUGUGACGCCUGCCCGGUGCCGGAAGGUUAAUUGAUGGGGUCAGCGCAAGCGAAGCUCUUGAUCGAAGCCCCGGUAAACGGCGGCCGUAACUAUAACGGUCCUAAGGUAGCGAAAUUCCUUGUCGGGUAAGUUCCGACCUGCACGAAUGGCGUAAUGAUGGCCAGGCUGUCUCCACCCGAGACUCAGUGAAAUUGAACUCGCUGUGAAGAUGCAGUGUACCCGCGGCAAGACGGAAAGACCCCGUGAACCUUUACUAUAGCUUGACACUGAACAUUGAGCCUUGAUGUGUAGGAUAGGUGGGAGGCUUUGAAGUGUGGACGCCAGUCUGCAUGGAGCCGACCUUGAAAUACCACCCUUUAAUGUUUGAUGUUCUAACGUGGACCCGUGAUCCGGGUUGCGGACAGUGUCUGGUGGGUAGUUUGACUGGGGCGGUCUCCUCCUAAAGAGUAACGGAGGAGCACGAAGGUUGGCUAAUCCUGGUCGGACAUCAGGAGGUUAGUGCAAUGGCAUAAGCCAGCUUGACUGCGAGCGUGACGGCGCGAGCAGGUGCGAAAGCAGGUCAUAGUGAUCCGGUGGUUCUGAAUGGAAGGGCCAUCGCUCAACGGAUAAAAGGUACUCCGGGGAUAACAGGCUGAUACCGCCCAAGAGUUCAUAUCGACGGCGGUGUUUGGCACCUCGAUGUCGGCUCAUCACAUCCUGGGGCUGAAGUAGGUCCCAAGGGUAUGGCUGUUCGCCAUUUAAAGUGGUACGCGAGCUGGGUUUAGAACGUCGUGAGACAGUUCGGUCCCUAUCUGCCGUGGGCGCUGGAGAACUGAGGGGGGCUGCUCCUAGUACGAGAGGACCGGAGUGGACGCAUCACUGGUGUUCGGGUUGUCAUGCCAAUGGCACUGCCCGGUAGCUAAAUGCGGAAGAGAUAAGUGCUGAAAGCAUCUAAGCACGAAACUUGCCCCGAGAUGAGUUCUCCCUGACUCCUUGAGAGUCCUGAAGGAACGUUGAAGACGACGACGUUGAUAGGCCGGGUGUGUAAG
RNAcentral lists this ribosomal RNA (1641 nucleotides) under Escherichia coli. RNAcentral's name for it is "partial 23S ribosomal RNA". It matches the Rfam family "Bacterial large subunit ribosomal RNA", at positions 1252 to 2873 of the family's 2925-position model. The record is from RNAcentral. Lineage: Bacteria; Pseudomonadati; Pseudomonadota; Gammaproteobacteria; Enterobacterales; Enterobacteriaceae.